RNAcentral lists this ribosomal RNA (677 nucleotides) under Methylobacterium mesophilicum. RNAcentral describes it as "bacterial SSU rRNA". It matches the Rfam family "Bacterial small subunit ribosomal RNA", at positions 56 to 780 of the family's 1533-position model. Lineage: Bacteria; Pseudomonadati; Pseudomonadota; Alphaproteobacteria; Hyphomicrobiales; Methylobacteriaceae. The record is from RNAcentral.
UGCAGUCGAGCGGGCACUUCGGUGUCAGCGGCGGACGGGUGAGUAACGCGUGGGAACGUGCCCUCUGGUUCGGAAUAACUCAGGGAAACUUGAGCUAAUACCGGAUACGCCCUUUUGGGGAAAGGCUUGCUGCCGGAGGAUCGGCCCGCGUCUGAUUAGCUAGUUGGUGAGGUAACGGCUCACCAAGGCGACGAUCAGUAGCUGGUCUGAGAGGAUGAUCAGCCACACUGGGACUGAGACACGGCCCAGACUCCUACGGGAGGCAGCAGUGGGGAAUAUUGGACAAUGGGCGCAAGCCUGAUCCAGCCAUGCCGCGUGAGUGAUGAAGGCCUUAGGGUUGUAAAGCUCUUUUAUCCGGGACGAUAAUGACGGUACCGGAGGAAUAAGCCCCGGCUAACUUCGUGCCAGCAGCCGCGGUAAUACGAAGGGGGCUAGCGUUGCUCGGAAUCACUGGGCGUAAAGGGCGCGUAGGCGGCGUUUUAAGUCGGGGGUGAAAGCCUGUGGCUCAACCACAGAAUGGCCUUCGAUACUGGGACGCUUGAGUAUGGUAGAGGUUGGUGGAACUGCGAGUGUAGAGGUGAAAUUCGUAGAUAUUCGCAAGAACACCGGUGGCGAAGGCGGCCAACUGGACCAUUACUGACGCUGAGGCGCGAAAGCGUGGGGAGCAAACAGGAUUA